CUCGUUUCCUGGUAGGAGAAGGUGCAGGCGGAGGCGGGGCCUCCCGUGAUACAGGUGGCAGCUCUCGUCCCCUGAGAGCGGGCGAAGGCCAGGGUCCCACACUCGCAGCGCUGCGACGGCGCUCGGGACCUCCCUCGUCCACUGCUUGAGUUCCAGAGGUGGGUGCUUCCCUGUCCUGAACUUCAGAGUGCGGAGUCAUAAAUGGGUUCCGGCUGGCUUACUGCAGUAGCCUCGCUCCUCCCCAGCCCCGGUAACUCCGAGCUACCCGUCCAGGCCCUCGGGCGUCGCGGGGGCAGGGACUGGGCGCGGAACGAGGCAGGGAGGGACCUGGAAAAACCACCCAGAUUGCAUUGCAGUGGGCGAGGCCGCCUGGAGGAGCCGGUUCCCCCUAACCACCUCCCCGUGGGGCUCUCGGUGCGCGGUUCCCAGGUGCUCAGCUCUGCUGGGCCCAGGAGGUGCCGCCUCACAGGGACGCGGAACCCCGUGCGUGGCCCCCGCCGGGUGGAACAGAUAGCGCGGGGCGGUCCGGAGGCUCGUCGCCAAGCAGCGCCAGAGACCCAAGUUGAGGAACAGCCUAUAAAAUAACUGGCCUGUACUCUUACAUACAUGAAAGCCAUCAAAGACAAAGACUGAAGAAGAACUUUUGCAGAUUAAAGGACUUUAAGAGACAUGAUCCUGAACCAGAAAAAGUAAAAAAUAAAAAAAUAAAAAGAUCUGUAGAUUAGAUAAUAGUUUUAUAUCCAUGUUAAUUUCCCAUUUGUUGUAAUAUUACUGUGGUUGGGCAAGAGAGUGUCUUUGUUGGUGGAAGUAUCUACUGAAGUAUUUAGGGGUAAAGAGGAAUCAUGUCUGUAACUUAUGCUCAAAAGGUUCAGACAAAAUAUAUGUAAAGGGAAUGAUAAAGCAAACGCAAUAAAAUGUUAACAUUGGGGAAUCUGUAUAAGGGAAUUAUUAACUUUUCUGUAAGUCUAAAAUUAUUUCAAAUUAAAAAUAAUUUUUUUAAGCCUCAGAGGACAUUUUGCUGCCACCGCCUUGCUGGUGGUUGACAAGGCUCUGUGUCAUGACUUUUUUUUCUGCUAAUCUAACUACUUGUACUGUAAAAUAA
This 1102-nucleotide long non-coding RNA is filed under the name Homo sapiens (human). RNAcentral describes it as "non-protein coding lnc-VIRMA-1:7". The record is from RNAcentral. Lineage: Eukaryota; Metazoa; Chordata; Mammalia; Primates; Hominidae.